ACCAAUUUGAUCCCGAGAGAAUGUUGGGCUUCUAAGACAUUUCCAUUUGGAAGUUUGUCUUCUUGGCACAAAAUGGCCUAUUGGGCAAAGAACUGCCCUUGCCUCGACUGCUGAUAGUAUGAGUGCUGUCCUUCUGGACAAGCGGGACACAAGGAAAAGUGACUUCUGAACUCUGCCGAGACAGGGACCCACAGAGUCUGAGAAUGUUACACAGGAGCCCUUCCACGUCUGGGAAUAAGCUCAUUAAGAUUCCAAAAAUGUGAUUUCCUUUUGCACUGCAGCUGAUGUUCUAUGGACGUCUGUGGUUACAUUAGCAAUAAAAACAUCCUGGAAUGCUCUGAGCAAUGCUAAGGCCUCCCAGGCUCAGUAUCCUGCACAUCACUUGCCGUAAUACAGCCAGGUCACCAGUAAAUACUUCCCAUUCCCAUGAUUCAAGAUUUUCAACACAUUUAAGCCUAGGAGUGUUAGCAUCCUUUCAUCUCACAAAUCUUAAAGCUGUUUAUUCCAAGAAGAGCCAAAGGAAAACCCCUCUGCAUUUCAACUACCUCAUUAGACACUAAUUAGUAAAUGUUUCAUUUUAAAAAUUAUGAAUCACCCUGCAAGUCAUAAAAUAAUUGUGUAAGGAAACAACGACCUUUAAGUUUGAAGAAAGGAAUGGAAUCCUAGAUGUCGCAAAGACCACACUGAGCCAAUUUUGUUCUAAUUCUCUUUGCAUCAUAGAGUGUUAUUCACUUCUGGGUUGCAACAAAGAAGUUGAGUGUAUUUAUGGGUCAAUGUUAACACAGACAGAAAAAUGCAACUGCAGAGAAGCAGGACCCAUGAUAACUGCAAUCACAAGUGCAUCUCACUGGAAGAAGCCCAUGAACCAGAAAGACCUCCUGUCCAGGCAGAAGAAAUGAAGGCAGACUGCAAAGCAUUUCUAUGUGGAUACGUAGCUUCCUCCUGCAAAGAACUGUCUGUACCAACUGACUCUGGGCUUUCCCCAUCAUUGCUGUCUGCCCCUUUUACAGUAUGUGUCUGGAGCAACACUGCAAGCUCACACAAGAUUAAUGUCUUUCAGCCUGGUGCUUAUUGCUAGUACGAAAGACAUUGAUAGAGUCCAGUUGAAGAGAGAGAAGCGGAAUCCUAUGAGCAAAGGACAUUAAAAUCAUGAUGGGGAAACCUACAGGGACAACCAAACCAAACUAGUGGGAACUCAUGAACUUUAGACCAACAGCUGUGGAGACUCCAUGGGACUGGACUAGGCCCUCUGCAUAAGCGAGGCAGUUGUGUAGCUUGAUCUGCUUAAGGGGCCGCCUGGCAGUAGGAUCAGGAUCCAUCCCCAGUGCAUGAGCUGGCUUUUUGGACCCCACUACCUGUGGUAGGGCACCACAAACAGCCUUGAUGCAGGGGGAGGGGCUUGGACCUGCCUCUACUGAAUGCACUAGGCUCUGUGGACUCCCUGUGGGAGACCUUGCCUUGUUGAA
Molecule: long non-coding RNA, 1466 nt
Organism: Peromyscus eremicus (cactus mouse)
Lineage: Eukaryota; Metazoa; Chordata; Mammalia; Rodentia; Cricetidae
Exons: 3
Source: RefSeq, a predicted model, not a curated record